This 71-nucleotide transfer RNA is filed under the name Camelus ferus (Wild Bactrian camel). It matches the Rfam family "tRNA". Rfam says of the family: Transfer RNA (tRNA) molecules are approximately 80 nucleotides in length. Their secondary structure includes four short double-helical elements and three loops (D, anti-codon, and T loops). The record is from Rfam by way of RNAcentral. Lineage: Eukaryota; Metazoa; Chordata; Mammalia; Artiodactyla; Camelidae.
GGAGGUAUAGCUCAGUUGCAGAGUGCAUGCCUAACAUGCAUGAGGUCCUAGUUCAAUUCCCAGGACCUCCA